RNAcentral lists this ribosomal RNA (1349 nucleotides) under uncultured bacterium. RNAcentral's name for it is "bacterial SSU rRNA". It matches the Rfam family "Bacterial small subunit ribosomal RNA", at positions 28 to 1381 of the family's 1533-position model. The record is from RNAcentral.
GACGAACGCUGCCUUUCAAGAUUACACAUGCUAGUCGAACGAUGAAGCCUAGCUUGCUAGGUGGAUUAGUGGCGAACGGGUGAGUAAUACGUGAGUAACCUACCUUUAACUCUGGGAUAAGCCUGGGAAACUGGGUCUAAUACCGGAUACGACCAAUCUCCGCAUGGGGUGUUGGUGGAAAGCGUUAUGUAGUGGUUAUAGAUGGGCUCACGGCCUAUCAGCUUGUUGGUGAGGUAACGGCUCACCAAGGCGACGACGGGUAGCCGGCCUGAGAGGGUGACCGGCCACACUGGGACUGAGACACGGCCCAUACUCCUACGGGAGGCAGCAGUGGGGAAUAUUGCACAAUGGGCGCAAGCCUGAUGCAACGACGCCGCGUGACGGAUGACGGCCUUCGGGUUGUAAACCUCUGUUUGCUGGGAAUAAGAGAGAUUGACGGUACCUGCAGAGAAAGCGCCGGCUAACUACGUGCCAUCAUCCGCGGUUAAUACCUAGGGCGCGAGCGCUGCCCGGAAUUAUUGGGCGUAAAGAGCUUGUAGGCGGUUUGUCGCGUCUGCUGUGAAAGGCCGGAGCUUAACUCCGUGUAUUGCAGUGGGUACGGGCAGACUAGAGUGCAGUAGGGGAGACUGGAAUUCCUGGUGUAGCGGUGGAAUGCGCAGAUAUCAGGAGGAACACCGAUGGCGAAGGCAGGUCUCUGGGCUGUAACUGACGCUGAGAAGCGAAAGCAUGGGGAGCGAACAGGAUUAGAUACCCUGGUAGUCCAUGCCGUAAACGUUGGGCACUAGGUGUGGGGGACAUUCCACGUUUCCCGCGCCGUAGCUAACGCAUUAAGUGCCCCGCCUGGGGAGUACGGCCGCAAGGCUAAAACUCAAAGAAAUUGACGGGGGCCCGCACAAGCGGCGGAGCAUGCGGAUUAAUUCGAUGCAACGCGAAGAACCUUACCAAGGCUUGACAUAUACUGGACCGCAUCAGAGAUGGUGUUUCCCUUCGGGGCUGGUAUACAGGUGGUGCAUGGUUGUCGUCAGCUCGUGUCGUGAGAUGUUGGGUUAAGUCCCGCAACGAGCGCAACCCUCGUUCUAUGUUGCCAGCACGUUAUGGUGGGGACUCAUAGGAGACUGCCGGGGUCAACUCGGAGGAAGGUGGGGAUGACGUCAAAUCAUCAUGCCCCUUAUGUCUUGGGCUUCACGCAUGCUACAAUGGCCGGUACAGAGGGUUGCGAUACUGUGAGGUGGAGCUAAUCCCUAAAAGCCGGUCUCAGUUCGGAUUGGGGUCUGCAACUCGACCCCAUGAAGUCGGAGUCGCUAGUAAUCGCAGAUCAGCAACGCUGCGGUGAAUACGUUCCCGGGCCU